CUUAGCAUCUUUUUGUUGCACAGGGCUCUGUGGAGGUCAUGUGUCUCUGAUACCCCCCUAACCCUCUGUACUGCUCUGGAACUAUCCCAGGAAAGGAGGUGACCACCUUAUCUUAAAUAUCACUGCAGGAAGAAAUUUUCUGACACACACCGAUGCUAUGUUACUGUCUCUCCUAAGUCAGGGAGGUAUCGCUUUGUUUGCAUAAUGUUAUGGUCUUUGUUCUCAUCAGACAAAACAACUGCUGGCCUAUGACUAGUUCUCUGUCACCUUUAUACUGAAGUUUUGCUCUCAAUAAUGAUAAUCACUCUUCAAAGAACUGAAGUACCUGUAUUGUAGGACAAGAAGUAGGGAAUUAAGAUCUGCCAUUUGCUCAUUUGGUUAUUCUUAAGAAUUUUAGGUUCUUAAUUUGACUAACAUGCUACUAUAUGUUUGUGGUGGUGGAGACAUUAAGAAUGUUUGAAAAAGGGAGUAAGUUUGACUGUUCCUCUUCUAAUCUUUUGUGUUUAGAUUGGAAUAGAAGGACUCUGACUUUAUUUUGUAAUGGGAGGAAGAAAUUUUCCCAGAGCAAACUUCGUUUUUCACCUAUGAAGUAACAAUGACUUUAAAAAAAUGGUAAUAGUGUUGGCAAGGAAACAGUGAGACCAGUGAACAUCUUUGGGAAGGUGUCUUCUUAGCUGUGGAAAUAUACUUGAACAUCACUGAGUCAAAGGGUGUUUGCAGUUUGGAUUAUAAAAAAUGCUGGGGAAUUGCCUCCUGUAAAGGCUCUGAAUUUACAGCAGCUAACAGGAGAAAAAUGCUUGUGCCCCGCAAUUCUGACUGUCAGGUUGGGGCCCACGGCAGUGGAACAUUUUGAUAGGAAUUUUCUAUAGAUACAAUUCAGAUCAUGAUGAGGGGAAAAGAGCAAGAGUAAGAACAAUGCCCAGAGGAAGAACAGACCUGAACGUAUCUCCUGGCGGCC
Kogia breviceps (pygmy sperm whale) is the source of this 958-nucleotide non-coding RNA. Lineage: Eukaryota; Metazoa; Chordata; Mammalia; Artiodactyla; Physeteridae. The record is from RefSeq and is a predicted model, not a curated record.